UGUUAAAAAUUUUAUCCAUUUGUACUGUUAAAAAUUGAUAUGAUUGAUAAAAUAACCGAAUAAUGACAUGUGACAUACCAUAUAUACCUCAUGUUGAUAUACUAGGACCAAUUUUUAAUAAUUUAAAUGGAUAAAAAUUUUAACA
Gossypium raimondii (Peruvian cotton) is the source of this 145-nucleotide non-coding RNA. Lineage: Eukaryota; Viridiplantae; Streptophyta; Magnoliopsida; Malvales; Malvaceae. The record is from Rfam.